Non-coding RNA from Camellia sinensis, 173 nucleotides. NCBI's taxonomy places the organism in Eukaryota, Viridiplantae, Streptophyta, Magnoliopsida, Ericales, Theaceae. The record is from RefSeq and is a predicted model, not a curated record.
CUUAAGAUUUUGGUUGUCUUUUAUUUAAAGGAGACAAAAAAGAACAAUGGGGUUCCUGCUAGUCGGUCACAGGUGUGGAUGGCCGUAUACAUGAAAGAUGGGACGUCAAAUAGUGAUUCAGUUAAUGAGGUUAUGACUCAAAUGAAUGAGUUAACAGAGCACAUGGAGGGAUC